GAGUUUGAUCCUGGCUCAGGAUUAACGCUGGCGGCGUGCCUAAUACAUGCAAGUCGAAUGGUAGUAGCAAUACAAACCAUGGCGAACGGGUGAGUAACACGUAGGCAACCCAACUUUAAGACGAGGAUAACCGUUGGAAACGACGGAUAAUACUGGAUAGGACAUCACAAAGGGUAUCCUUAGAUGUUUAAAGGUUACUAUGCCACUUAGAGAGGGGCCUGCGGCGCAUUAGCUAGUUGGUGAGAUAACAGCCCACCAAGGCGAUGAUGCGUAGCCGGACUGAGAGGUUGAACGGCCACAAUGGAACUGAGAACGGUCCAUACUCCUACGGGAGGCAGCAGUAGGGAAUUUUCGGCAAUGGGCGGAAGCCUGACCGAGCAACGCCGCGUGAACGAAGAAGUUAUUCGUAAUGUAAAGUUCUUUUAUCUGGGAAGAAAAAACAAAUUGACGGUACCAGAUGAAUAAGCUCCGGCUAACUACGUGCCAGCAGCCGCGGUAAUACGUAGGGAGCGAGCGUUAUCCGGAAUUAUUGGGCGUAAAGGGUGCGCAGAUGGCACAUUAAGUUUCUUGUAAAAAUGCUAGGCUCAACCUAGUAGGGCAAGAGAUACUGAUGAGCUAGAGUACGAGAGAGGCAAGUGGAAUUCCAUGUGUAGCGGUAAAAUGCGUAAAUAUAUGGCAGAACACCAGUGGCGAACGCGGCUUGCUAGCUCGAUACUGACAUUGAGGCACGAAAGCGUGGGGAGCAAACAGAUUAGAUACCCUGGUAGUCCACGCCCUAAACGAUGAGUACUAAGUGCUGGGAGGAAUCUCGGUGCUGAAGUUAACGCAUUAAGUACUCGGCCUGAGUAGUACGUACGCAAGUAUGAAACUUAAAGGAAUUGACGGGAGCCCGCACAAGCGGUGGAGCAUGUUGUUUAAUUCGACGAUACGCGAAGAACCUUACCAGGUCUUGACAUCCUCUGCAAAGCUAUAGAGAUAUAGUGGAGGUUAGCAGAGAGACAGGUGGUGCAUGGUUGUCGUCAGCUCGUGUCGUGAGAUGUUGGGUUAAGUCCCGCAACGAGCGCAACCCUUAUAUCUAGUUACCAUCAUUCAGUUGGGGACUCUAGAUAGACUGCCAUUGAUAAAAUGGAGGAAGGUGGGGAUGACGUCAAAUCAUCAUGCCCUAUAUGACCUGGGCUACAAACGUGCUACAAUGGCUGAAACAAAGAGAAGCGAAGCGGUGACGUGGAGCUAACCUCAUAAAAGCAGUCUCAGUUCGGAUUGAAGUCUGCAACUCGACUUCAUGAAGUUGGAAUCGCUAGUAAUCGCGAAUCAGAAUGUCGCGGUGAAUACGUUCUCGGGCUUUGUACACACCGCCCGUCAAACCAUGAGAGUUUGUAAUACCCGAAGCCGGUGGCCUAACCGCAAGGAAGGAGCCGUCUAAGGUAGGACAGAUGAUUGGGGUUAAGUCGUAACAAGGUAACCGUA
This 1467-nucleotide ribosomal RNA is filed under the name uncultured rumen bacterium. RNAcentral describes it as "bacterial SSU rRNA". It matches the Rfam family "Bacterial small subunit ribosomal RNA". The record is from RNAcentral.